This 301-nucleotide ribosomal RNA is filed under the name uncultured bacterium. RNAcentral describes it as "partial 16S ribosomal RNA". It matches the Rfam family "Bacterial small subunit ribosomal RNA", at positions 509 to 809 of the family's 1533-position model. The record is from RNAcentral.
CAGUCGCCACGGUAAAACAGAGGGUGCGAGCGUUAAUCGGAUUUACUGGGCGUAAAGCGUGCGUAGGCGGCUUUUUAAGUCGGAUGUGAAAUCCCUGAGCUUAACUUAGGAAUUGCAUUCGAUACUGGGAAGCUAGAGUAUGGGAGAGGAUGGUAGAAUUCCAGGUGUAGCGGUGAAAUGCGUAGAGAUCUGGAGGAAUACCGAUGGCGAAGGCAGCCAUCUGGCCUAAUACUGACGCUGAGGUACGAAAGCAUGGGGAGCAAACAGGAUUAGAUACCCCUGUAGUCCCUGUCUUUAUACA